Long non-coding RNA from Scatophagus argus, 205 nucleotides. RefSeq lists it as uncharacterized. NCBI's taxonomy places the organism in Eukaryota, Metazoa, Chordata, Actinopteri, Scatophagidae. The transcript has 3 exons. The record is from RefSeq and is a predicted model, not a curated record.
GAGAGGGAGGGGGAAGAAGGAAGCUCAUUUAUGCCAAAAACAGUGCCCAUGAUGAAAAUCAAAAUACACACGGACUGUGCAGCGUAAGGAGCUGGUGGCUCUCUCAUACAGAAGGUCAAACUCUAACGUCCCCAAGGAGGCUGGAAAGUAGUUGAUGGAAAAUUAAAAUAAAAAAAAAAAAUUAAAAAUUAAAUUAAAAAUUAAA